Molecule: unclassified non-coding RNA, 336 nt
Filed under: soil metagenome
Description: partial contains 5.8S ribosomal RNA, internal transcribed spacer 2, and large subunit ribosomal RNA
Rfam family: 5.8S ribosomal RNA (bases 1-120)
Source: RNAcentral
GAUGAAGAACGUAGCGAAAUGCGAUAAGUAAUGUGAAUUGCAGAAUUCCGUGAAUCAUCGAAUCUUUGAACGCACAUUGCGCCCCCUGGCAUUCCGGGGGGCAUGCCUGUCCGAGCGUCAUUUCUGCCCUCAAGCACGGCUUGUGUGUUGGGUGUGGUCCCCCCGGGGACCUGCCCGAAAGGCAGCGGCGACGUCCGUCUGGUCCUCGAGCGUAUGGGGCUCUGUCACUCGCUCGGGAAGGACCUGCGGGGGUUGGUCACCACCAUGUUUUACCACGGUUGACCUCGGAUCAGGUAGGGAUACCCGCUGAACUUAAGCAUAUCAAUAAGCGGAGGA